UAGGGAUUAAAAUUAUAUUUUUUUUGUAAAUUUUAAUAAAAACUUGAAGAAAUGCGUGAUUGAAAAAUUGAGAGCCCCCAUAAAAAUAUGUAGUUAAAAUUAAUUUUUGACUUUAACUUAUGAAUUUUAAUCGGUACCAAAUAUGAGCUUAAUUUUAGAUUAAAAUAUGAAAUUUAAUUGGUACCAAACAUGAGCUUAUUUUUUAUCACAUGUUUUAUGAGAUUGAUAACUUUUCAAUCACACAUUUCAUCAACUUCUAUCAAAAUAUAUUAAAAUUUUGAUUUUUAUCUUAACCAAACACGAAUUUUUUUUCUCACGCUGUUUAGUUUAGCUGUUGACUAGCACAACAGAUGGAUUCAUUCCCACAACAAAUAACACUACAGUCAAAGCAAUAAUGGUGCCUUUACUUCAUUUCCUCGAAAGAAAAGGUAAUGCUAUUGCUUUAUUUCCUGUUAAUUUUUAUACUUUACGUGUUUAGCCCGAGAUGGCUUUGCAAAAGAGCAAGCACCCACACACAGAGGCCGGCAAAGAAUAACUGGGACGAAUGAAAACAGAGAAACAAUAAACUACUAAUGUUCUUUAUAACGCUAAGCAGUUGCAGCCAAUAAACUUGAUCUGUAGCAUGCCCUCCUUACUGCACGUACAAUGUCGUCAAUCUGACCAGAUUUCACCACAAAAUCAGAUAAAGAAUGAAUUGGGUGAAAAAAAUGACAACAGAGAACAGAUGAUUGAGCAUGUCUGGUUAAGAGUAAAAAAUUUGCUUACAAGUCUUCCAGCUUGACUAGAUGGAGAAUAGAGGAGAAUCUCAAGUUCAAACAGCAAAAUAAAGAAUAUUAUAAAUUAAAAAGGAGAGAGAGAGAGAAGAAAAGAAACUAUAAUAGAAUUCUUCCGCCUUGGAGCAAUGCAUAACUGUUACUUCUACAAUCAUCAUCUGAUUAUUCCCGUAGCUGAUAAAAAUUAAAGUAUUCAUGUCGAUAAACUAAUCGGAAAAAGAAAAAACCUGCCCUGAAUACAAGUACAGACUAGGCAUUUUUUGUUGAUGUUCAAGUGUCUAGUAAUAAUCAAAAUUGUUUAAUUCGAAGGCAUAGUUUUCCUGCUCUUUUUCAUUGGGUUUCCUUCCCUAGUUGAGGGCAACAGUUUUGUUUAAGUGGUCAUAAGAAAUGGAACUAUACAAAAAAACAAUUUAUUUUGCCUACUGAUGCUACCAAAAAUCGUACCUGCUGAUUUUUCGAGCUUGAUGACUGGUGAGGAGCACGAACGUGAUCUUCCGAUACCUGAAACAAAGGCAACGAGGUGUGUUCUCGUCGCCCCUCCGAUGCUUAAGUCAGAAAGGGAAAAAUAUGCGUGAGGCUAUGUGCUGAAGAACAAUGAGAAAACGUACCUGAAUAAUGGCCCAAGGUUCUGCUUUUAUAGGAGUAGGUAGUGUACUCCUAGUAGGAUUGUGUUGGUUGGAUGUUUUUAUCCAAGGGAAUUUCUAUUAUAAAGAAUGUCCUACUUGUAAU
Molecule: long non-coding RNA, 1502 nt
Filed under: Olea europaea subsp. europaea
Lineage: Eukaryota; Viridiplantae; Streptophyta; Magnoliopsida; Lamiales; Oleaceae
Source: RNAcentral